CACGUAGGCGGUUUGGUCAGUCUGCUGUGAAAUCCCUGGGCUUAACCUAGGAAUUGCAGUGGAUACUGCCUGACUAGAGUGUGAGAGAGGGGGGUGGAAUUCCAGGUGUAGCGGUGAAAUGCGUAGAGAUCUGGAGGAACACCAGUGGCGAAGGCGGCCCCCUGGUUCAACACUGACGCUGAGGUGCGAAAGCGUGGGGAGCAAACA
This 207-nucleotide ribosomal RNA is filed under the name uncultured Chromatiaceae bacterium. RNAcentral describes it as "partial 16S ribosomal RNA". It matches the Rfam family "Bacterial small subunit ribosomal RNA", at positions 568 to 774 of the family's 1533-position model. Lineage: Bacteria; Pseudomonadati; Pseudomonadota; Gammaproteobacteria; Chromatiales; Chromatiaceae. The record is from RNAcentral.